AUCCGCGUCCCCGUUCCAGACCUGUGUGUCCCUGUCCCAGAUCCCAAGUCCCCAUCCCAGACUACUCUGUGUCCUUGUCCCGGAUCCCUGUGUCCCCAGGUCCCCAUCCCAGACCUGUGUGUCCCUGUCCCGGACUUCAGUGUCCCCAUCCUGGGCUCCCGUGUCCCACAUCCCUGUGUCCCCCCCCCAGACCUCAGUGUCCCUGUCCCAGAUUCCAUGUCCCCAUCCCAGACUACUGCAUGUCCCUGUCCCAGACCCCUUGUGUCCCUGUCAUGCCUCCUCAUGUCCCCUCCCAGACCUCCAUGUCCCUGUCCUGGACUUCAGUGUCCCCAGGUCCCACAUCCCUGUGUCCCCAUCCUAGACCCGUGUGUCCCUGUCCCAGAUCCCCGUGUCCCCAUCCCAGACCCCUCAUGUCCCUGUCUUGCCUCCCAUGUCCCCCUCCCAGACCUCCGUGUCCCUGUCCUGGACUCCAGUGUCCCCAGGUCCCACAUCGCUGUGUCCCCAUCCCAGAUCCCCGUGUCCCUGUCCUGGACCCCAGUGUCUUCAUGUCCCUGUCCCAGAUCUGUGUCCCCCUCCCAGACCUCCAUGUCCCUGUCCUGGUCUCCAGUGUCCCCAGGUCCCCAUCCCAGACUACUCUAUGUCACUGUCCCAGAUCUGUGUCCCCAUCCUGGACACCAGUGUCCUUGUCCUGGACUCCAGUGUCCCCAUCCUGGGCUCCCGUGUCCCACAUCCCCGUGUCCCUGUCCCAGACCUGUGUGUCCAUGUCCUAGAUCUCCGUGUCCCCAUCCCAGACCUGUGUGUCCCCAUCCCAGACCUGUGUGUCCCCAUCCCAGACCUGUGUGUCCCUGUCCCAGGUCCCCGUGUCCCCAUCCUGGACCCCAGUGUCUUCAUGUCCCUGUCCCAGAUCCGUGUCCCCAUCCCAGACCUCCAUGUCCCUGUCCUGGACCCCAGUGUCCCCAGGUCACACAUCCCUGUGUCCCCAUCCCAGACCUGUGUGUCCCUGCCCUGGCUCCCUGUGUCCCCCUCCCAGACCCCUCAUGUCCUCGUCCUGCCUCCCAUGCCCUCCUCCCAGACCUCCGUGUCCCUGUGCUGGACUCCAGUGUCCCCAUCCUGGCUCCCCAUGUCCCUGUCCCAGAUCCCUGUGUCCCCAUCCUGGACCCCAGUGUCCUCAUGCCCCUGUCCCGGAUCCCUGUGUCCCCCUCCCAGACCUCCAUGUCCCUGUCCUGGACUCCAGUGUCCCCAACCUGGGCUCCCGUGUCCCACAUCCCUGUGUCCCCAUCCCAGACCUGUGUGUCCCUGUCCCAGAUCCCCGUGUCCCCAUCCUGGACCCCAGUGUCUUCAUGUCCCUGUCCCAGAUCUGCAUCCCCAUUCCAGACCUGUGUGUCCCUGUCCUGCACCUGUGUCCCCAUGUCCCACAUCCCCAUGUCCCUGCCCCAGAUCCCUGUCCCCCCAUCCCAGAUCCCCGUGUCCCCAUCCUGCAUCCCAGUGUCUUCAUGUCCCUGUCCCAGAUCCCUGUGUCCCCCUCCCAGACCUCCAUGUCCCUGCCCUGGACUCCAGUGUCCCCAGGUCCUCACCCCAGACUACUCUAUGUCCCCAUCCCGGAUCCCCGUGUCCCCAUCCUGGACCCCAGUGUCUUCACAUCCCUGUCCCAGAACCCUCUGUCCCCAUCCUGGCUCCCCAUGUCCCCAUCCCAGACCUCCGUGUCCCUGUCCUGGGCCCCAGUGUCCCCACAUCCUGCAUCCCCAUCCCAGACCAUCCCCGUGUCCCCGUCCCAGACCUGUGUGUCCCUGUCCCAGAUCCCUGUGUCCCCGUGUCCCCAUCCUGGACCCCAGUGUCCUCAUGUCCCUGUCCCAGACCUGUGUGUCCCUGUCCCAGAUCCCAAGUCCCCAUCCCAGACUACUCUGUGUCCUUGUCCCGGAUCCCUGUGUCCCCAGGUCCCCAUCCCAGACCUGUGUGUCCCUGACAUCUCCGUGUCCCCCUCCCAGACCUGUGUGUCCCUGUCCUGGACUUCAGUGUCCCCAUCCUGGGCUCCCGUGUCCCACAUCCCUGUGUCCCCCCCCCAGACCUCAGUGUCCCUGUCCCAGAUUCCAUGUCCCCAUCCCAGACUACUGCAUGUCCCUGUCCCAGACCCCUUGUGUCCCUGUCAUGCCUCCUCAUGUCCCCUCCCAGACCUCCAUGUCCCUGUCCUGGACUCCAGUGUCCCCAGGUCCCACAUCGCUGUGUCCCCAUCCCAGAUCCCCGUGUCCCUGUCCUGGACCCCAGUGUCUUCAUGUCCCUGUCCCAGAUCUGUGUCCCCCUCCCAGACCUCCAUGUCCCUGUCCUGGACUUCAGUGUCCCCAGGUCCCACAUCCCUGUGUCCCCAUCCUAGACCCGUGUGUCCCUGUCCCAGAUCCCCGUGUCCCCAUCCCAGACCCCUCAUGUCCCUGUCUUGCCUCCCAUGUCCCCCUCCCAGACCUCCGUGUCCCUGUCCUGGACUCCAGUGUCCCCAGGUCCCACAUCGCUGUGUCCCCAUCCCAGAUCCCCGUGUCCCUGUCCUGGACCCCAGUGUCUUCAUGUCCCUGUCCCAGAUCUGUGUCCCCCUCCCAGACCUCCAUGUCCCUGUCCUGGUCUCCAGUGUCCCCAGGUCCCCAUCCCAGACUACUCUAUGUCACUGUCCCAGAUCUGUGUCCCCAUCCUGGACACCAGUGUCCUUGUCCUGGACUCCAGUGUCCCCAUCCUGGGCUCCCGUGUCCCACAUCCCCGUGUCCCUGUCCCAGACCUGUGUGUCCAUGUCCUAGAUCUCCGUGUCCCCAUCCCAGACCUGUGUGUCCCCAUCCCAGACCUGUGUGUCCCCAUCCCAGACCUGUGUGUCCCUGUCCCAGGUCCCCGUGUCCCCAUCCUGGACCCCAGUGUCUUCAUGUCCCUGUCCCAGAUCCGUGUCCCCAUCCCAGACCUCCAUGUCCCUGUCCUGGACCCCAGUGUCCCCAGGUCACACAUCCCUGUGUCCCCAUCCCAGACCUGUGUGUCCCUGCCCUGGCUCCCUGUGUCCCCCUCCCAGACCCCUCAUGUCCUCGUCCUGCCUCCCAUGCCCUCCUCCCAGACCUCCGUGUCCCUGUGCUGGACUCCAGUGUCCCCAUCCUGGCUCCCCAUGUCCCUGUCCCAGAUCCCUGUGUCCCCAUCCUGGACCCCAGUGUCCUCAUGCCCCUGUCCCGGAUCCCUGUGUCCCCCUCCCAGACCUCCAUGUCCCUGUCCUGGACUCCAGUGUCCCCAACCUGGGCUCCCGUGUCCCACAUCCCUGUGUCCCCAUCCCAGACCUGUGUGUCCCUGUCCCAGAUCCCCGUGUCCCCAUCCUGGACCCCAGUGUCUUCAUGUCCCUGUCCCAGAUCUGCAUCCCCAUUCCAGACCUGUGUGUCCCUGUCCUGCCUCCCACACCUCUGUGUCCCUGUCCUGGACUCCAGUGUCCCCAUCCCGGGCUCCCGUGUCCCACAUCCCCAUGUCCCCAUCCCAGACCUGUGUGUCCAUGUCACAGAUCCCUGUGUCCCCAUGUCCCUGUCCUGGACUUCAGUGUCCCCAGGUCCCAUAUCCCCAUGUCCCUGUCCCAGACCAUCCCCGUGUCCCCAUCCCAGACCUGUGUGUCCCCAUCCCAGACCUGUGUGUCCCUGUCCCAGGUCCCCGUGUCCCCAUCCUGGACCCCAGCGUCUUUAUGUCUCGGUCCC
RNAcentral lists this long non-coding RNA (3695 nucleotides) under Calidris pugnax (ruff). Its description in RNAcentral is "lncRNA (ENSCPUG00000014686.1)". Lineage: Eukaryota; Metazoa; Chordata; Aves; Charadriiformes; Scolopacidae. The record is from RNAcentral.